UUUAAGUUACCAUCCAGGACAGUAAAAGCUAUGCAUUUCCCCAAAUGUUUACUAAUAUUUUAAGUUUGUGCUGUUUUUCCACAUUAAAGAAAGCAGUACAUCGUGUUGAAUCCAAAGACGACCACGUGAUCAUGUAUCUUCAAGAGAUCCAAAAGAACAUGUUCCUUCGCCAAACACUACGUAUUAAACAAAUCUUCUCAGUUAAAAACCUCAAGCCAGCAGUUGUAAAAGUCUAUGAUUAUUACCAGACCAGUGAGCGAUCUGAAGCAGAAUACUUUAAUCACAGUGCCUGAGGAAGGAUGCCACAGAAGAGACAACGGAUGUCUUCACACCAAUGCAGUGUAUAACUUUAGGUUAUUAAAUUGAAUUGGCAUGUAUAGUUAUGCAGCUGAAAGCUUUCAUUUUCGUAUUGUCUUGUAGGUUCCCAGUUAUUUCAUGCAUGUUUAGGGCUUUUCAUUUGUGUUUUAUCAUUAUAAAGCACAUAAAUAUUGAGAUGUAUGUAAGCCUUAGCUCAUAGAGGCAUUAUUAUUUUAGAGAAAUAUUAUGCUUGUUAGUCAUUAACUUUUAAUAACACAUUAUCUUUAUAGCAAAUAUAAUUGUUUUGAUUGCUGUUGACCUAUUCUCUGUUAGUGUCAUUAUGAAUAGAUUACUCUAUAUUUGUGAAAAGAGCAAACAAAGAUUGAAAAAAGUUCAGUAAAUUUGCCAAGUACCCUUUAGUGUUCUUUUAGAUGAUAUCAAAUAACAAUAUCUCCACAACAUCACUCAAUCAAAUAAAUAUGAAAUGAA
Long non-coding RNA from Carassius carassius (crucian carp), 786 nucleotides. RefSeq lists it as uncharacterized. Lineage: Eukaryota; Metazoa; Chordata; Actinopteri; Cypriniformes; Cyprinidae. The record is from RefSeq and is a predicted model, not a curated record. The transcript has 3 exons.